This 244-nucleotide long non-coding RNA is filed under the name Lathyrus oleraceus (garden pea). RNAcentral describes it as "Pisum sativum (pea) long non-coding RNA (PSAT_LNC025556)". Lineage: Eukaryota; Viridiplantae; Streptophyta; Magnoliopsida; Fabales; Fabaceae. The record is from RNAcentral.
CCUUGGCUUCUAAGGUUUAUAUUGGAAAGAGUAAUGCCUAACCAUGACUACUCGUGUGACAUUAUUGAUACCAAUAAGACCUCCACCAAGUGAAUGGGCUUGCAAGUCAACUUACUAAGGAAGAACUCCACACAAGUUAACAAGACUAUGCCGUUCUCCUAUCAUAAGUGCACUCGAGUUCGGGUAUAUAACUCAUCUCACAAGAAACCACCAAGCAUACAAGCAUUUAAUAUAUCAAGCAAUU